Molecule: long non-coding RNA, 4346 nt
Filed under: Gallus gallus (chicken)
Lineage: Eukaryota; Metazoa; Chordata; Aves; Galliformes; Phasianidae
Description: lncRNA (ENSGALG00010007492.1)
Source: RNAcentral
CCCUGCUGCUUCAGAACUGUUAAGUAACUAUUUUCCUACAAUUUAUCUCAGGCAAGACCUCGAAUAUUUUCCUAACUGCUACCAACUCAGGCACUGCAUAGGACAAUGAUACAGAGGAUCGGCAACAGGAUCCUAACCUUCUUCUGCAAGCACUGUCUACCUCCUUAGAAGAUGGGCUGUGCCACACAUUAAUGCAUGCAGACGAAUGAGCACCGGAGUAACCUGGUCUGGCUAGUUGAAACCAGUCCAGCUGUGGCCUAAGGUUACAUCCAGAUGGACUAAUCCAAGUGAGAAGAGAUACGCAGAGGACAGUGAUGCUGUAACUUGUUUGAUUACGAUCCUUCUUCAUGGUUGCACUGAAUCUCAUCUUGUGAUCUGCCGACUUCAGAAAGGUGAUGAUUCAGUGAAAUGAAGGUCCAAACAAAAACUUCAGAGAUAAAUCAGUAGUACCCCAGGAGGAGACUUCAUCUCUUGCUUGUCACCAAGGACCUUUGCUGCCGGGCUGCUGCAUCCUGACUCUCUGUGCUUCCUCUCCUCCUGAUCUGUCAGUCUUGACUUGAAAGAUUGCCUGGCUUUGGCAAGACAGAAUGGCUACAGGAAACACAGUGCACUAAUUGGUCUAUCACAGCCUCAUCUAUAUCAGUUCGUAUUUGCUCUACUGUCUGCUGACUGUUUGGAUACAUCUCACAAAAUGCUACAAGAUGUUCUGCUCUCUAAGAAGUGUACACUGUGCUUGGAUUCAAACAAUUUGAUUUUCUUGAGACAAGAAAAAACACUAAGUGUCACAAGUAACUGCAACAGCACUGCAGAAUACGUCUAACCUUAGAGUAACUAGAAGGCUGCAUUCUCCAAUGAACAAAAAAUCCACCUAAAUAAAGGAAAAACCCUGAGAUUCAUGGUUGAUGUUCCUGUGGCUAGUCCUGUUUUUCCACCCAUCUUUCCAUCUGCCUGAGGCUGGCCUCUCCAUUGCACUCACUCACUGGUUUAUGUGGAAGAGUUCCUUGAAAAGACCUGGUUUAAGGAAAUAGAAAAAGACACAUUGCCACUUUUUGCAAAGAAAAAUCAAAAGGUCCUUGAGGUUCUACAGACACAUCCAGUUCAGCUGUUUCUACCUGUUGGAAUGAGUUCAGAGGAAACCACAAGGAUACUCGGAGUGUUGCAGCACCUCUCCUAACAAGACAGACUAAAGAAAGCUGGACUGGUUCAGUAUAGAGAAGAGAAGGCUCCAGGGAGAUCUCAUACUGGCCUUUCAGUACCUAAAGGGGGCCCACAGGAAAUAUGGGGAAGGACUUUUCGAUGGGGGAGUAUAGUGAUAGGGCAAGAGAUAAUGUCUUUAAACUAAGAUAGGAAGGUUUAGAUUAGAUUUAAGGAAGAAAUUGUUCACUGUGUGUGUGGUGAGGCCCUGGCAUAGGCUGCCCAGAGAGAUGCCCCAUCCCUGGAGGUGUUCAAGGCCAGGCUGGUGAGGCUCUGAGCAAUCUGAUCAAAUGGGUGAUGUCCCUGCCCAUAGCAGGGGGUUUGCAACAAUAUAAUCUUUAACAAUGACAAUACAACCUUCCAACCUCUACCUUGCAUAUUCUAUAACGAUUCUAUGAUACGGUUGUGGGUAUUAUGAAUUUCAGCACAGUGGACAUGAAGGAAACAGAUGUUAGCUGAUGUAACGAGUUCACAUAGGAGAUAUAAAACGUAAUAAAUUUAUAAGACAAUAGCUAGCCAUCAAGAAUUCUGUGUGGACCCUUAGUUAGCUUUAAGAUUAUUUGAAGUAGCUUAGCCUACUUCAGAAAUGGAGCAAAUUAUUCUACAAGAAGCAUGUUAUACCAGUAACUACAUAGGUAGCUAUUCUAGAUCAGUACAAUAAAUAAAUAAAUAAAUAAAUAAAUAAAUAAAUUUGCAUGCAGGAAACAAAACUUGAAAAAAAAGACAAUAAUAAAUCCCACUAGAGCCUACAUACCUGUGACCAAAAAAUAAAAAUAAAAAUAAAAAUAAAAAAAUAAAAAAAAUCCCCACCAAAAAACAAUACAAAACAACAAAUGAGAUCCAGAAGGCAAAAAGUAAAUGAAUAUAAUCCAGCAUCAAGUCAUAUGAGGUUACUUUAUCUAAAUGUAUCUCCAGUGAACAUAAUUGGAAGCAGCAUAAAUCUCUGCAGGCUAUUAUAAAUUAAGAUGGCUGAAAUGAUUUUAAAUAGCCAAAGGUAUAAAACAGACUGAAGACUCUAUUUCUUGAUGAAACUCAAUAUUUUGGAAAGGAAUCAGUGAAUCAGCUGGGAUACCAAGAUUUUAAAGUUGUAGACAGACAAGAAUUCAGGGCUUGCCUUUUUCAAAGGAUGAAUUCUAGUUCAGGGAUAUUUGGACUGAAAAUCAUAUUUUAUAUUCACAGAAAUUUCACUGACACUUACUAUUAUCCUACUUUAUGUGAAAGUUUUUUGUUGCAUUCAGAAUUGGGGGGAGAUCACGGUUGUGGGCAGGAUCUCCCAUAGAACUCUUUCCAACCACAGCUGGUUUUUAUUGCCAAUGGAAAGAGGACAUCAGACACAAUGAAUUUUGGCACAGGUGAAGGUUAAUAAAUCUCUUGGUGAGAGACAGCUAAUGCGUCACAAAAAAUACUAAGGAAAAAUUUAGAUAUCAAUAAGCUACCUGAUCUAAAAGGUGUACUUCGUAGUCAAAGAUUCAUACAUAAGCAUGAAAUUAAUGAUUAAUAGAGCAUAAAAUAACAUCUAUAUUGAAAAAAUACAGAGUACUCUGGAAAAAAAAUAAUCAAAGUUAUGAAAUACUGUAUAUUUAGGAUUGGAUUUUUAUUUUUUUACUUUUAUUUUUAAUAAAAAUGAUAAAUGGAACAGAACUGAAUGAUAAAUUAAAUCAAAAGAAAGCUUGAUAUAGGAAAGAAGCUUAGUAAACGUGGCAGCAGAUACAUUUGCCUCAAAGAGACAAUACUGCUACUUUACAUGGCAUUUGCUAUCUAAAGUCUCCUCAAGUCAUCUGUCCAAGCAAGAAUAACAAAUACAUGUUUUGCCCUUUUUGGAUUACAUCAGUAUGAUGCAGCUGCUGCCUCAGAUGGAGAAAGAAUCAUUCUCCUCAAGUAAGAAAUAAUUAAGUAAUGGUGAAUGCCAAAAGUCGGAUAGCUUUUAAAUUGAAAGCUCUAAACACUGCAGACAGCCCUGGAUAUGAGAUUAUUUUUACUAUUUGAAGUACUAGUAAGAGCCUUUUUCUGUAUUCUGUAUAAGAACCUUGCUAAAAUACAAGGUAAUGAUACAUAUGCUCUGAAUAUUUUUAAUUAACAUUUUAAUAAAACUAGCACAAACAAUGCAGGAUUAAAGCAGAAAAAAAAUCAUAAACUAAACUUUACGUUGCAAAAUUGUGUGGCUCUCAUACUAUGGGAUUUGGGUUUUAUUGCCUUAGUGAUAUAUAUUUCUCAUAAGUAAUGCUAUUUUCUUAAAAAAAAAAAAAAAAAAAAAAAAAGUAGUUAGGUUUGAGUGAUCUAAAGGUUAUCUCACUGCUGAACAGAGUUAUCAGUGAGAAAUAAAUAUCCAGAACAGAAAAACAGCUAAAUCCCCUAAUCACUUAAGUAAAGGAAUUAGUAAAGGAAUUUCCUCGCUAUCAAUCUGAAGAACUGGUGCUAUCAUCAGAACUUAUAUGUUUUCCUUUUCAAAUUGCAAAUUUUCACAAACACUUUGAAACACUGGCAAUUAACGAACUCCACAUGGUCAGUGAUUGUGGCCAUAAGCGUUUGUAAGUAGCCAAUUUUCAUAAAGAAAACGCGAAAUGAAUGGUGUAAUGAAUUAGGUAUGAAUAAUGGCUCACUUUUUUACUUAUGCUGGCAUCAAUAUUAUUCAUGUAUAUGGGAAAACUGAACCCUUAUUCUCUUCACCUGGAAAUAUGCUCAAGUAAUAGACUUGUAUUAAAAUGUUCAGUUCUUAUUAUAAAUCAGUCAGACACAAACAUGCCUAAUGAUGUCAAAAGCAUUUAUUUUUCCUCUUUACAAAUUUUCUUCAGACAGCACUUCUUUUUAUUAUUAUUUUUAAAUUGUAAUGAAUCUGAUAUCUAGAAUUGAAAUGUAUUCCCCAAAUAUGCUGAAAUUAUACAUGACUUAGUUGCUCUUUAUAAUGAACAUUCAGUUGAUUUCUCUUAUGUUCAACAUCUGUUAUUGUUCCAGCUUUUGUAAUUCUGGUGUCCUAUAGUUAAAAGAUUGAUUGUCCCAUAUGGAAGGCAUGCACAUAAAAAUAAACGAAUGUUGAAAUAAUUAAUAACAAUCAAAAAGGUUUUAUGUAACUUUUAUUUAACUCCUCCAAAGAAAGAAGAAAUAAAUAUUUUAGCUGACAAAAAAUACUUCAGUAAGUAUAAUAGACUUCGGCA